Molecule: ribosomal RNA, 500 nt
Filed under: uncultured Glomeromycotina
Lineage: Eukaryota; Fungi; Glomeromycota
Description: partial small subunit ribosomal RNA
Rfam family: Eukaryotic small subunit ribosomal RNA
Source: RNAcentral
CCAAUAGCGUAUAUUAAAGUUGUUGCAGUUAAAAAGCUCGUAGUUGAAUUUCGGGGUUAGCAAGUUGGUCGUGCCAUUGGUAUGCACUGGCUUUGCUGAUUCCUCCUUCUUGAAGAACUGUGAUGCUAUUAAUUUGGUGUUGCAGGGAAACAGGACUGUUACUUUGAAAAAAUUAGAGUGUUUAAAGCAGGCUAACGCUUGAAUACAUUAGCAUGGAAUAAUGAAAUAGGACGUUUGAUCCUAUUUUGUUGGUCUCUAGGAUUGACGUAAUGAUUAAUAGGGAGAGUUGGGGGCAUUAGUAUUCAAUUGUCAGAGGUGAAAUUCUUGGAUUUAUUGAAGACUAACUACUGCGAAAGCAUUUGCCAAGGAUGUUUUCAUUAAUCAAGAACGAAAGUUAGGGGAUCGAAGACGAUCAGAUACCGUCGUAGUCUUAACCAUAAACUAUGCCGACUAGGGAUCGGAUGAUGUUAAUUUUAUAAUGACUCAUUCGGCGCCUUACG